UACGAAGGGUGCAAGCGUUACUCGGAAUUACUGGGCGUAAAGCGUGCGUAGGUGGUGAGUUAAGUCUGUCGUGAAAGCCCCGGGCUCAACCUGGGAAUGGCGAUGGAUACUGGCUCGCUAGAGUGCGGUAGAGGAGAGUGGAAUUCCCGGUAUAGCAGUGAAAUGCGCAGAUAUCAGGAGGAACACCUGAGGCGAAGGCGGGCUACUGGGCUGAUACUGACGCUGAGGCGCGAAAGCUAGGGGAGCAAACGGG
Molecule: ribosomal RNA, 253 nt
Filed under: uncultured bacterium
Lineage: Bacteria
Description: partial 16S ribosomal RNA
Rfam family: Bacterial small subunit ribosomal RNA
Source: RNAcentral